RNAcentral lists this ribosomal RNA (617 nucleotides) under Salmonella enterica. RNAcentral describes it as "partial 23S ribosomal RNA". It matches the Rfam family "Bacterial large subunit ribosomal RNA", at positions 593 to 1211 of the family's 2925-position model. RNAcentral also lists the same sequence under 3 other names. Lineage: Bacteria; Pseudomonadati; Pseudomonadota; Gammaproteobacteria; Enterobacterales; Enterobacteriaceae. The record is from RNAcentral.
GUGACUGCGUACCUUUUGUAUAAUGGGUCAGCGACUUAUAUUCUGUAGCAAGGUUAACCGUAUAGGGGAGCCGCAGGGAAACCGAGUCUUAACCGGGCGUUAAGUUGCAGGGUAUAGACCCGAAACCCGGUGAUCUAGCCAUGGGCAGGUUGAAGGUUGGGUAACACUAACUGGAGGACCGAACCGACUAAUGUUGAAAAAUUAGCGGAUGACCUGUGGCUGGGGGUGAAAGGCCAAUCAAACCGGGAGAUAGCUGGUUCUCCCCGAAAGCUAUUUAGGUAGCGCCUCGUGAAUUCAUCUCCGGGGGUAGAGCACUGUUUCGGCUAGGGGGCCAUCCCGGCUUACCAACCCGAUGCAAACUGCGAAUACCGGAGAAUGUUAUCACGGGAGACACACGGCGGGUGCUAACGUCCGUCGUGAAGAGGGAAACAACCCAGACCGCCAGCUAAGGUCCCAAAGUCAUGGUUAAGUGGGAAACGAUGUGGGAAGGCCCAGACAGCCAGGAUGUUGGCUUAGAAGCAGCCAUCAUUUAAAGAAAGCGUAAUAGCUCACUGGUCGAGUCGGCCUGCGCGGAAGAUGUAACGGGGCUAAACCAUGCACCGAAGCUGCGGCAGCGA